This 404-nucleotide ribosomal RNA is filed under the name fungal sp. FW5. RNAcentral's name for it is "eukaryotic LSU rRNA". The stretch from base 113 to 266 matches the Rfam family "5.8S ribosomal RNA". The record is from RNAcentral. Lineage: Eukaryota; Fungi.
ACUCUUGUUGCUUUGGCAGGCCGUGGCCUCCACUGUGGGCUCUGCCUGCAUGUGCCUGCCAGAGGACCAAACUCUGAAUUCUAGUGAUGUCUGAGUACUAUAUAAUAGUUAAAACUUUCAACAACGGAUCUCUUGGUUCUGGCAUCGAUGAAGAACGCAGCGAAAUGCGAUAAGUAAUGUGAAUUGCAGAAUUCAGUGAAUCAUCGAAUCUUUGAACGCACAUUGCGCCCUGUGGUAUUCCGCAGGGCAUGCCUGUUCGAGCGUCAUUAUAACCACUCAAGCCUGGCUUGGUAUUGGAGUUCGCGGUCUCGCGGCUUCUAAAAUCAGUGGCGGUGCCGGUUGGCUCUACGCGUAGUAAUUUCUCUCGCGAUUGAGUCCCUCCGGUUGCUUGCCAGAACCCCCAA